This 347-nucleotide ribosomal RNA is filed under the name Schistometopum gregorii. Its description in RNAcentral is "partial 12S ribosomal RNA". It matches the Rfam family "Bacterial small subunit ribosomal RNA", at positions 869 to 1384 of the family's 1533-position model. The record is from RNAcentral. Lineage: Eukaryota; Metazoa; Chordata; Amphibia; Gymnophiona; Dermophiidae.
UCGCCAGAGUACUACGAGCAACAGCUUAAAACUCAAAGGACUUGGCGGUGUCCUAAAUCCACCCAGAGGAGCCUGUUCUAUAAUCGAUACUCCACGUUUUACCUUACCAUUCUUUGCCAUCAGCCUAUAUACCACCGUCACCAGCUUACCUUGUGAAAGAUUACUAGUUAGCAAAAAUGAUUUUAUCAAAUACGACAGGUCAAGGUGUAGCAUAUAGAAUGGACAGAAAUGGGCUACAUUUUCUUAAAAAGAAUAAUACGACCAAUAUUAUGAAAUUAAUAUUAAAAGGCGGAUUUGACAGUAAGAUUAAAUAAUUAUGCUAAUCUUAAACUGGCCCUAGGACGCGC